This 301-nucleotide ribosomal RNA is filed under the name uncultured bacterium. RNAcentral's name for it is "partial 16S ribosomal RNA". It matches the Rfam family "Bacterial small subunit ribosomal RNA", at positions 509 to 807 of the family's 1533-position model. The record is from RNAcentral.
CAGUCGCCACGGUAAUACGUAGGUGGCAAGCGAUGUCCGGAAUUAUUGGACGUAAAGGGCUCGCAGGCGGUUUCUUAAGUCUGAUGUGAAAGCCCCCGGCUCAACCGGGGAGGGUCAUUGGAAACUGGGAAACUUGAGUGCAGAAGAGGAGAGUGGAAUUCCACGUGUAGCGGUGAAAUGCGUAGAGAUGUGGAGGAACACCAGUGGCGAAGGCGACUCUCUGGUCUGUAACUGACGCUGAGGAGCGAAAGCGUGGGGAGCGAACAGGAUUAGAUACCCCGGUAGUCCCUGUCUCUUAUAC